GAUGAACGCUAGCGGCAGGCCUAACACAUGCAAGUCGAGGGGCAGCACAUAAAGUGGUUUACUACUUUUGGUGGCGACCGGCGGACGGGUGCGUAACGCGUAUGCAACCUGCCUCCAACAGGGGGAUAACGGAGAGAAAUUUCCACUAAUACCCCAUAAUAUCAGAAUCGGCAUCGGUUUUGGUUGAAAACUCCGGUGGUUGGAGAUGGGCAUGCGUUGUAUUAGAUAGUUGGUGAGGUAACGGCUCACCAAGUCAACGAUACAUAGGGGGACGUGGAGGUUAGGCCCCCACACUGGUACUGAGACACGGACCAGACUCCUACGGGAGGCAGCAGUGAGGAAUAUUGGUCAAUGGGGGCAACCCUGAACCAGCCAUGCCGCGUGCAGGAAGACGGCUCUAUGAGUUGUAAACUGCUUUUACAAGGGGAUAAAUCGGUGUACGUGUACACCGUUGAAGGUACCUUGGGAAUAAGGACCGGCUAACUCCGUGCCAGCCGCCGCAGUAA
Molecule: ribosomal RNA, 506 nt
Filed under: uncultured bacterium
Lineage: Bacteria
Description: partial 16S ribosomal RNA
Rfam family: Bacterial small subunit ribosomal RNA
Source: RNAcentral